CACUCUGGUGGCCUAUUGGUAGAGCAUCCACUUUGGAUGUGAGAGGUCACAGGUUUGAAUCCUGUCCAAGUCA
Non-coding RNA from Potamilus streckersoni, 73 nucleotides. The record is from the annotation of a GenBank genome assembly. Lineage: Eukaryota; Metazoa; Mollusca; Bivalvia; Unionida; Unionidae.